RNAcentral lists this ribosomal RNA (640 nucleotides) under uncultured Peptostreptococcaceae bacterium. Its description in RNAcentral is "bacterial SSU rRNA". It matches the Rfam family "Bacterial small subunit ribosomal RNA", at positions 897 to 1533 of the family's 1533-position model. Lineage: Bacteria; Bacillati; Bacillota; Clostridia; Peptostreptococcales; Peptostreptococcaceae. The record is from RNAcentral.
AAACUCAAAUGAAUUGACGGGGACCCGCACAAGUAGCGGAGCAUGUGGUUUAAUUCGAAGCAACGCGAAGAACCUUACCUAAGCUUGACAUCCUUUUGACCGAUGCCUAAUCGCAUCUUUCCCUUCGGGGACAGAAGUGACAGGUGGUGCAUGGUUGUCGUCAGCUCGUGUCGUGAGAUGUUGGGUUAAGUCCCGCAACGAGCGCAACCCUUGCCUUUAGUUGCCAGCAUUAAGUUGGGCACUCUAGAGGGACUGCCAGGGAUAACCUGGAGGAAGGUGGGGAUGACGUCAAAUCAUCAUGCCCCUUAUGCUUAGGGCUACACACGUGCUACAAUGGGUGGUACAGAGGGCAGCCAAGUCGUGAGGCGGAGCUAAUCCCUUAAAGCCAUUCUCAGUUCGGAUUGUAGGCUGAAACUCGCCUACAUGAAGCUGGAGUUACUAGUAAUCGCAGAUCAGAAUGCUGCGGUGAAUGCGUUCCCGGGUCUUGUACACACCGCCCGUCACACCACGGGAGUUGGGGGCGCCCGAAGCCGGAUUGCUAACCUUUUGGAAGCGUCCGUCGAAGGUGAAAUCAAUAACUGGGGUGAAGUCGUAACAAGGUAGCCGUAUCGGAAGGUGCGGCUGGAUCACCUCCUUUAUG